Microbotryomycetes sp. JL221 is the source of this 219-nucleotide non-coding RNA. Lineage: Eukaryota; Fungi; Basidiomycota; Microbotryomycetes. The record is from the annotation of a GenBank genome assembly.
ACUCUUCAACCCACCGGUUUCUAGUUAAACUGCCGUGGUGUUUGGAUCUUGAGCGUCUGCUUUUCUUUUUGGAAAGCUCGUUCGUAAUGCAUUAGCUUUCUCGACUUUGAUCGGAUUGACUCGGCGUAAUAGAUUAUUCGCUGAGGACAAGCUUCGCGCUUGGCCGACCAUAUGUCUACCGAAGGCUUCUAAUCAGUCCUUUUGGACAUACCUUUUAAG